AGAAAGAUCUCAAAAUUUUAAGCAGAAUUUUCUUUCUCUGUGUGACUGUGGUAACAAAUCGGAGGCAGAAGAGAACCCCAAAUAGAAGAAGGCAAAGUUGGUGAAAGGACUAUGCUGUUGGGAAGAUUCUGCGGUGGGCUUCCUACUGAGGCCUCUGAGCCGGUAUACAGUAUGGCUGUCUGACCAGAGCUCCCAAAGCCUCCUGCCAGGUAUCUACUACAUCAUCAA
Molecule: long non-coding RNA, 228 nt
Filed under: Ictidomys tridecemlineatus (thirteen-lined ground squirrel)
Lineage: Eukaryota; Metazoa; Chordata; Mammalia; Rodentia; Sciuridae
Description: lncRNA (ENSSTOG00000031727.1)
Source: RNAcentral